AGCCCGCUCAGAAACUACAAAGGAAUUGACGGGGCCCGGCACAAGCGGUGGAGUAUGUGGUUUAAUUCGAUGCAACGCGAAGAACCUUACCUGGUCUUGACAUCCCGGAGACCCUUAGGAAACUAGGGGGUGCUUCCAUCUGGAAGAAUCUGGAGACAGGUGCUGCAUGGCUGUCGUCAGCUCGGUGUCGUGAGAUGUUGGGUUAAGUCCGCAACGAGCGCAACCCUUGCCUUUAGUUGCCAGCAGUUCGGCUGGGCACUCUAAAGGGACUGCCGGUGUUAAACCGGAGGAAGGUGGGGAUGACGUCAAGUCCUCAUGGCCUUUAUGACCAGGGCUACACACGUACUACAAUGGCCGAUACAAAGGGCAGCGACACUGCGAAGUGAAGCCAAUCCCGUAAAAUCGGUCUCAGUCCGGAUUGGAGUCUGCAACUCGACUGCGUGAAGUCGGAAUCGCUAGUAAUCGUGAAUCAGAAUGUCACGGUGAAUACGUUCCCGGGCCUU
This 503-nucleotide ribosomal RNA is filed under the name uncultured Desulfobulbus sp. Its description in RNAcentral is "bacterial SSU rRNA". It matches the Rfam family "Bacterial small subunit ribosomal RNA", at positions 903 to 1382 of the family's 1533-position model. Lineage: Bacteria; Pseudomonadati; Thermodesulfobacteriota; Desulfobulbia; Desulfobulbales; Desulfobulbaceae. The record is from RNAcentral.